GGUCCAAUAGUGUAGAGGUUAUCACCCGGGGUUCUGAUAAUCUGUAUCCACAACAAAGGUGGUGUUAUCAAUUCCCGUGACCCAGGUUCAAGUCCUGGUUGGACCU
Non-coding RNA from Rhodocollybia butyracea, 106 nucleotides. NCBI's taxonomy places the organism in Eukaryota, Fungi, Basidiomycota, Agaricomycetes, Agaricales, Omphalotaceae. The record is from the annotation of a GenBank genome assembly.